UAAGAUGAACAGAAAAAUUGCACUAAUUUUGGGAGCCUUGAUAACUCUCUCAGUGGAGACAGACUCCAGCCCUACAGAGUCUCCUGUUUAUGGCCAAAAGGGAGCAUCUGUUCAUCUCACAGUGGAGGGUCUUCAACGUUUACAGAUCAUAAGAAUAACAUGGAAAUAUAAUAAUACAGACAUAGUGGAACACACACUGGAUAGUAGUCCUUCAUAUUACAACAAAAAUUAUACAGAGAAGAUACAGUUUGACAGUAGCGACUUCUCUCUGCUCAUUAAGAAACUAGACGAGACAAACCGGGGCAUCUAUACUGCCACAAUAAAAGAUAAAAAUAGGAUGGACUUUGUAAAAGCCAAAUACCACUUACAUGUACUAGAGGCUGUUUCCAAACCAGCACUUUCAUUAAGCUCUGCUGAAGGAUUCUGCACUGUGUCAGUGAACUGCUCUGUGAGGGACAGCUGGGUCUAUUACACCUGUAAUCAAACCCAGUGCUCACAGACAGAGCCCCAAUCCUGGCCAGAUGUGAACAUCACUGUCACUGUUUAUAAUGGAAACAUCACCUGCACAGGCAGUAACCGGGUCAGCAAGGAGACCCAGUCAGAACCACUGGGACAUGCAUGUGAGGGUAAGGCGGCUAACGCCACUUCUGCGUCUUAUCAUCAUGGUACAUUUGGCUGGUGGUACCUGGCAUUGUCUGCCUCUGCAUUGGUUUCAUCCAUUUCAUAAGACGCCAUAACAGGCAUACAAGAAAUUCAGAGGGGGCGAUGGGCCCGGAUGGAGCAAACACUAUGUACGUGGUGCCACCAACCGCAAACAGAGCAUCUUCCCCAAAUACCCCCCAGGAUAACACUGUGUACUGCACUGUGGGACACCCAAAGGACCUGCCCCCACGAACACCCCGACCAGCUCACUGUGAUGACAUGAGUAUUUACAGUCAGGUGAAAAAAUAACAUGGACUUUUCUGCAGAAUGAAAGCUGGCUGGAACUUUUUAGCUCAUGCCUGUGAUGCUACUUCCUUUGCAGUGGGUCUGUCUGUACUGUGAAUAUUCAUGCACUUUUCAGCUCAUGCAUGUGACAUGUCCUGCUUAGCAAAGAGUCUGUGUGCACAUUGCGAUGCAUCAGAGUGUAAAAGCUCUGUGAUGUGUUACCUGCCAACAUGCAUGAGGAGGUGAUUUGUACAUUAAUGUCAGUGUUAAUCAUCUGCACUAAGUAUGAUGCAUUUAUAACUGUUUAGCAGAUGUUUGUUAUCCAAAGAGACAUCCAAUAAAACAGACAGCAGGCAGUCCUUAGAGCUAUUGGGUUUAAUGUCUCAGCUCAGGGUUUGAAGCCGUUUGCUACUGAGUCCUAACGGACUGAUCCACACCAACAGCGUGUUCGUGUGUCAGGGAGUGAGUUUGUCUGGCUAGGAGUUUAUACAUCAAGCUGUGUGAGUAUUAGUGUGUAAGAAAUCAUGCCAGCAUUGCUGGGACAGAUGACUGCAAGUUCUGUUUAUGGCGGAAAAAAGUUAAUUUCAGUAUUUAAUUUUGCAGUUAUUUUGUGCUCUUCAACAUUCAUUAAAUGGUUAUUAAGGACUC
Molecule: non-coding RNA, 1575 nt
Organism: Paramormyrops kingsleyae
Lineage: Eukaryota; Metazoa; Chordata; Actinopteri; Osteoglossiformes; Mormyridae
Source: RefSeq, a predicted model, not a curated record